CAUGUCUCCCAGUAUCCCCAAGUGUCCAGUGUCCCCAUGUCACUAGGAUACUAGGGGACACAUUGAGACAUGGGGACACUGGACACUUAGGGAUACUGGGAGACAU
Pelobates cultripes (western spadefoot toad) is the source of this 106-nucleotide non-coding RNA. The record is from the annotation of a GenBank genome assembly. Lineage: Eukaryota; Metazoa; Chordata; Amphibia; Anura; Pelobatidae.